AUGCUUGCUUGGGCAGCCUGUAUGCUAAAAUUGGAACAACACAGAGCAGAUUAGCAUGGCAACUGUGCAAGAAUGAUGUAGAGUUUGGUGGCCAAUAAAAGUUGG
Small nuclear RNA from Naja naja (Indian cobra), 105 nucleotides. Lineage: Eukaryota; Metazoa; Chordata; Lepidosauria; Squamata; Elapidae. The record is from Ensembl.